Molecule: non-coding RNA, 135 nt
Organism: Triticum aestivum (bread wheat)
Lineage: Eukaryota; Viridiplantae; Streptophyta; Magnoliopsida; Poales; Poaceae
Source: Rfam
AUAGUACUCCCUCCAUCCCAGAAUUCGUGUCUUAGAUUUGUCUAGAUAUGGAUGUACCUAAUACUAAAAUGUGACUUGAGACAUCCGUAUUUAGAAAAAUCUAAGACAAGAAUUUUGGGAUGGAGGGAGUAUCAA